CGGGAAUCUCCGGCUGCGUCCGGCGCCGGUCGGGAGGGGGCGGCACCACGGCUGCGCUCCCUGCCGAGACCGCUCUCUAUUGGCUGCGGCCGAGUGGGGGGUGCGGGGUCCAUCCCGGCGGUCGCCGAGAGCCAGGCGGGGUCUGGGGGUUGGAUUAUGUCAUUCUUUUAUUUUUAGCUGCUUUCGGCUUCCCACUUCUCGCGCAACGCCCGCUGCGGCCGCGUGGUUGCGGGCAGGUCGAGCCGAGGGCCGUAGGAGACGGCUGUUAGGGAUCGGACCCACGCGAGGAGAGGGCGCGGGACUGCUCUGUUCCUCCGCUGUGCCUGCUGCUCUCACGGCUCGGACGGGAAUGGGGGACGCGGUUUGGAUGGGGCCCUGGGCAGCCUGGUCCGGUGGGAGGCAGCCCUGUCCACAGCAGGGGGUUGGAGAUUAUCAUCUUUGAGUUAUCUCUAGGAAACAUCAAAGUAUCUUCUAUCAUGGACGAGUCAAAUGAACACAAAGCAAUGGGCACAGGAAAGUGUUUCAAAUUAGCAUCCCGCUGGCAGAAGCGGUUGCAACGUGAAUUCCUUUCUAGCCGGCCUAGCAGCAGCCACCAAGCAGAAACCAACUGGAAUAAAUGCUUCUGCUCCUGAGCAAGCUGGAAGCAGACCUGGGAGCAGGAAUUAGAUGAUAUUCUACACCAGCACAGAAUAAACUGUGUGAGAAUGAGAGAAAAUGGGAUCGGUGAAUGAAAAGGGUUAAUAUAAUGAGUAAAGAAAAAAAAUGGAUAUCCUGGAAAUUCCAUAAUUCAAGCUCUUAGUUACUUCAGAGCAAGGUGGUACUCAGAAUUAUUUGUUUUCUGAAUUUAAAUUGACUUUUUAUGUGCAACAGUGGAAAUUAAUGGUUUCCGCUGUUGUUGUCGAUUGUCAUCUGAAGUCAGUUGUGCCAUUACUGGCUUUGCAAGACUGUUCUGUCCAUCAGCUAUUUGAAAAGGGGAUGCUGCCCUUUUUUCUUCUCCACCUUGUUGUUCAUCCAGCAAACUGCACAACUGAUUGCCAGUGGCUGCUGAAAAGCCAAGGUCUGUUUGAAAAAUUUUGAAGGUUGUGGGAGGACUGAAGUUUGUCCCUUCCACUAUCAUCUCUACCUGCUGAAAAGCAGAAGAUGCUUCUUUUGUUUACUACAUGGGUGCCCUGAGCCAUGCCUCCCUCUGGAAGAGCCUCUCAUCUAUACAAAACUGAGGGAAUCUGGAACAGUUCCCAGCUCCAAGGAUUUUGUUUUGUGCAUUGAUUGAUAUCAAGUGGUUGCAAUUUACAUUCUUUACCUGCACUAGAGGCCAUCCUCACAGAGAUGCCUUCAACAGCCAAAUGCAUUCAUAACCUUUGCAGUGUUCAAAAGGACUGUCGCAAUAGUUGUGUUCAUGCUUACAUUCAUGAUACAACAUUUACUGAAGAAUAAAUUAAAUUGAUAAAGAUAGGAAAAUGAUAUUCUGGUUGAGUUACUAAACACUUGUAAUUAAGUAUGGAUAUCAUGCACAAGGUAUUAAUAUUGUGACUUUAGGGAAUCAAGUUUCUUAGUCCAGUUUUUCUUGAUAAUCUUAGUCUUAAAACUUCCCAGGAAGGUGAGGGGAGAGUACAAAUUGUCUAUGUGGAGAACAAUGCAUAUGGAAAAGUUGUGUGAGUUUGCAUACAUUGGAAGCUUGGCAUUAGAGAAUAGCCUUGUUCUCCAUCCUCAGCUCCAGCUUUGCUUCUCUCAGUUUUUGUCAGUCUCCGAUUGCUUUUUGCACCAAUUACAGUGAUAAAGUCAGUAGAAGAAGAAUACUCUUAUUAAAUAAAAUAUUUUAAGGGUACUGUGACCUGCUAAACAUCAAUAUUGCUAAGACUGAGAGACUAUUUUUAAUAAAUUGCUUAACCAGGAUUUUUUAAAUCUAAAUAAAUUGAAAUACUCUUUAUUUUGUGAAUGUACACACAUAUAUAUAAAGGCAUUUGAUUUUAUGGAAGUAAAUUGUUCCAAAAGAUUUACACCUGAGAAAGAUAAAAGCUGUAAAAUGUGUACUGUUUCAUUUGUGUCCUUUGUUUUUCACGUGUGGUGCCUUGGGUUGAACAAUCAUUCUAAAACCAUUAUAUCAGUGCACAAAGAUCUUUAUUCUAGGCAAAGAUACCUCUUGUGAAGAAAGAAGUGUGCACAGUAUGCAGACUGAGAAGUACCACAUGUCACCUCAUGGUUCAUCUCUAAAGGAAUAUGCAAGCUGGAUAUUGCUCAAGUUCUUUUCCUUCACCAUUUGCUGUCCACUUAAUGAAGACAAAGAUUGCCUCGUUUUUGGAAGGCAAUAAAUAAAGAAGAGCAACAGCUGGAAUUUAAGUCACUGAUAUUUGCAAGGUUUCAGGAGAAGUAAACUAGGAACUCCUUCAUUUGGAUGAGCAUCAGACAGGAGAUAACACUGAUCUGUCUGCAUGGCCAGUCGGAGUUGUCUCAUUGCUCAGAAUCAAAAAAGCCUUCAAUUAUGGGAAGGAAAAAAGAGUCAACAGCCAAUUUUUUAGAAUAUAGUUCACUUGUCACAGUCAUUCACAAGUUUUACUACCCACUUUUAUUUGCAAACUAAAACGUAGGCUGUGACAGUGUGAGGAUGAGAGUUCCACAUGGGCAUUUUAAAGGAAAAUAUAUAUGAACUUCCCUUCAACUUAGCCAGCCUGUACGAACUGCUUCUUACUUAUAUUAUUUUUCUGUAGCAGGCUUUUGGCAGGUUCCAAACGAAUCUAUAACGCAGAAGUGCUUGUGAAAAGUUGUAGAGAAUGCCCUACCAGUUGCUACUGUGCUUUUGGGAUGACAAGGCUUCUUUCAAGUUUGUAGCAGUUAAGGAAAGCAACCGAAGUUAUUAAUGUGUAGCACCUCCAAGUUGCUAUCUGGAUUCUUAUCUACAUUGCGCUUGUGUUAUAGAAACAUUUGUCAACUUCAAAUUUUUCUCCAAGCACAAGAUGCAUCUCUGUUAUCUGCAGAGUUGCACUGAGCCAUUUUCUAAGAGUUAUGAUUAUUAUCUCCACAUUCUCUGCAGUAGCUUCUAUCUCUUUUUGAAAGUGCACUGCAGUUGUCUUGAGCGCUGUUAAGUCUGUGUGGUCCCCUUAUGGUAUGUUUGCAAGGGUGGAUAGUGAUAGGACAAGGGGGAAUGGUUUUAAACUGAGACAGGGGAGGUUUAGCUUAGACAUUAGGAGGAAGUUUUUCACACAGAGGGUGGUGACGCACUGAAACAGGUUGCCCAAGGAGGUUGUGGGUGCCCCAUCCCUGGAGGCAUUCAAGGCCAGGCUGGAUGUGGCUCUGGGCAGCCUGGUCUGGUGGUUGGUGACCCUGCACAAAGCAGGGGGGUUGAAACUGGAUGAUCAUUGUGGUCC
This 3362-nucleotide long non-coding RNA is filed under the name Gallus gallus (chicken). The record is from RNAcentral. Lineage: Eukaryota; Metazoa; Chordata; Aves; Galliformes; Phasianidae.